GGUUAAGCGACUAAGCGUACACGGUGGAUGCCCUGGCAGUCAGAGGCGAUGAAGGACGUGCUAAUCUGCGAAAAGCGUCGGUAAGGUGAUAUGAACCGUUAUAACCGGCGAUGUCCGAAUGGGGAAACCCAGUGCAAUUCGUUGCACUAUCGUUAACUGAAUACAUAGGUUAACGAGGCGAACCGGGGGAACUGAAACAUCUAAGUACCCCGAGGAAAAGAAAUCAACCGAGAUUCCCCCAGUAGCGGCGAGCGAACGGGGAGCAGCCCAGAGUCUGAAUCAGCUUGUGUGUUAGUGGAACGGUCUGGAAAGUCCGACAGUACAGGGUGAUAGUCCCGUACACCAAAAUGCACAGGCUGUGAACUCGAAGAGUAGGGCGGGACACGUGGUAUCCUGUCUGAAUAUGGGGGGACCAUCCUCCAAGGCUAAAUACUCCUGACUGACCGAUAGUGAACCAGUACCGUGAGGGAAAGGCGAAAAGAACCCCGGCGAGGGGAGUGAAAAAGAACCUGAAACCGUGUACGUACAAGCAGUGGGAGCACCUUCGGGUGUGACUGCGUACCUUUUGUAUAAUGGGUCAGCGACUUAUAUUCUGUAGCAAGGUUAACCGUAUAGGGGAGCCGCAGGGAAACCGAGUCUUAACUGGGCGUUAAGUUGCAGGGUAUAGACCCGAAACCCGGUGAUCUAGCCAUGGGCAGGUUGAAGGUUGGGUAACACUAACUGGAGGACCGAACCGACUAAUGUUGAAAAAUUAGCGGAUGACUUGUGGCUGGGGGUGAAAGGCCAAUCAAACCGGGAGAUAGCUGGUUCUCCCCGAAAGCUAUUUAGGUAGCGCCUCGUGAACUCAUCUUCGGGGGUAGAGCACUGUUUCGGCUAGGGGGUCAUCCCGACUUACCAACCCGAUGCAAACUACGAAUACCGAAGAAUGUUAUCACGGGAGACACACGGCGGGUGCUAACGUCCGUCGUGAAGAGGGAAACAACCCAGACCGCCAGCUAAGGUCCCAAAGUCAUGGUUAAGUGGGAAACGAUGUGGGAAGGCACAGACAGCCAGGAUGUUGGCUUAGAAGCAGCCAUCAUUUAAAGAAAGCGUAAUAGCUCACUGGUCGAGUCGGCCUGCGCGGAAGAUGUAACGGGGCUAAACCAUGCACCGAAGCUGCGGCAGCGACACUAUGUGUUGUUGGGUAGGGGAGCGUUCUGUAAGCCUGCGAAGGUGACCUGUGAGGGUUGCUGGAGGUAUCAGAAGUGCGAAUGCUGACAUAAGUAACGAUAAAGCGGGUGAAAAGCCCGCUCGCCGGAAGACCAAGGGUUCCUGUCCAACGUUAAUCGGGGCAGGGUGAGUCGACCCCUAAGGCGAGGCCGAAAGGCGUAGUCGAUGGGAAACAGGUUAAUAUUCCUGUACUUGGUGUUACUGCGAAGGGGGGACGGAGAAGGCUAUGUUAGCCGGGCGACGGUUGUCCCGGUUUAAGCAUGUAGGCUGAUUGUCCAGGCAAAUCCGGAUAAUCAAGGCUGAGGUGUGAUGACGAGGCACUACGGUGCUGAAGUAACAAAUGCCCUGCUUCCAGGAAAAGCCUCUAAGCAUCAGGUAACAUUAAAUCGUACCCCAAACCGACACAGGUGGUCAGGUAGAGAAUACCAAGGCGCUUGAGAGAACUCGGGUGAAGGAACUAGGCAAAAUGGUGCCGUAACUUCGGGAGAAGGCACGCUGGUGUGUAGGUGAAGCCCCUGCGGGUGGAGCUGAGACCAGUCGAAGAUACCAGCUGGCUGCAACUGUUUAUUAAAAACACAGCACUGUGCAAACACGAAAGUGGACGUAUACGGUGUGACGCCUGCCCGGUGCCGGAAGGUUAAUUGAUGGGGUUAUCCGUAAGGAGAAGCUCUUGAUCGAAGCCCCGGUAAACGGCGGCCGUAACUAUAACGGUCCUAAGGUAGCGAAAUUCCUUGUCGGGUAAGUUCCGACCUGCACGAAUGGCGUAAUGAUGGCCAGGCUGUCUCCACCCGAGACUCAGUGAAAUUGAACUCGCUGUGAAGAUGCAGUGUACCCGCGGCAAGACGGAAAGACCCCGUGAACCUUUACUAUAGCUUGACACUGAACAUUGAGCCUUGAUGUGUAGGAUAGGUGGGAGGCUUUGAAGCGUGGACGCCAGUCUGCGUGGAGCCAACCUUGAAAUACCACCCUUUAAUGUUUGAUGUUCUAACGUUGGCCCCUGACCGGGGUUGCGGACAGUGUCUGGUGGGUAGUUUGACUGGGGCGGUCUCCUCCCAAAGCGUAACGGAGGAGCACGAAGGUUAGCUAAUCCUGGUCGGACAUCAGGAGGUUAGUGCAAUGGCAUAAGCUAGCUUGACUGCGAGCGUGACGGCGCGAGCAGGUGCGAAAGCAGGUCAUAGUGAUCCGGUGGUUCUGAAUGGAAGGGCCAUCGCUCAACGGAUAAAAGGUACUCCGGGGAUAACAGGCUGAUACCGCCCAAGAGUUCAUAUCGACGGCGGUGUUUGGCACCUCGAUGUCGGCUCAUCACAUCCUGGGGCUGAAGUAGGUCCCAAGGGUAUGGCUGUUCGCCAUUUAAAGUGGUACGCGAGCUGGGUUUAGAACGUCGUGAGACAGUUCGGUCCCUAUCUGCCGUGGGCGCUGGAGAAUUGAGGGGGGCUGCUCCUAGUACGAGAGGACCGGAGUGGACGCAUCACUGGUGUUCGGGUUGUCAUGCCAAUGGCACUGCCCGGUAGCUAAAUGCGGAAGAGAUAAGUGCUGAAAGCAUCUAAGCACGAAACUUGCCCCGAGAUGAGUUCUCCCUGAGACUUUAAGUCUCCUGAAGGAACGUUGAAGACGACGACGUUGAUAGGCCGGGUGUGUAAGCGCAGCGAUGCGUUGAGCUAACCGGUACUAAUGAACCGUGAGGCUUAACCUU
This 2902-nucleotide ribosomal RNA is filed under the name Klebsiella pneumoniae. Its description in RNAcentral is "23S ribosomal RNA". It matches the Rfam family "Bacterial large subunit ribosomal RNA". Lineage: Bacteria; Pseudomonadati; Pseudomonadota; Gammaproteobacteria; Enterobacterales; Enterobacteriaceae. The record is from RNAcentral.